GUGAAUCAUCGAAUCUUUGAACGCAUAUUGCACUCUCUGGUAUUCCGGAGAGUAUGCCUGUUUGAGGGUAAUUAAAAAUAAUAUUUAACCAAUUUUUUUUGGUCAUUGGAAAUGAGCUCUCCGCGUUUAUAGCUUUAGCUUGAUCUAAAUGGUCAAGUCUCAUUUUAGUCGAGAGGCGUAUUAAUAUUAUUUCGCGAAUUCUUCAUUAUGUGACUAUCACGUUUUGAUUCAUACAAAUUUGCUUUGUAUUCGAUCAAUACAAA
Molecule: unclassified non-coding RNA, 263 nt
Filed under: Archaeospora ecuadoriana
Lineage: Eukaryota; Fungi; Glomeromycota; Glomeromycetes; Archaeosporales; Archaeosporaceae
Description: partial contains 5.8S ribosomal RNA and internal transcribed spacer 2
Rfam family: 5.8S ribosomal RNA (bases 1-71)
Source: RNAcentral